This 465-nucleotide ribosomal RNA is filed under the name Vreelandella stevensii. Its description in RNAcentral is "partial 16S ribosomal RNA". It matches the Rfam family "Bacterial small subunit ribosomal RNA", at positions 338 to 795 of the family's 1533-position model. Lineage: Bacteria; Pseudomonadati; Pseudomonadota; Gammaproteobacteria; Oceanospirillales; Halomonadaceae. The record is from RNAcentral.
CCUACGGGGGGCAGCAGUGGGGAAUAUUGGACAAUGGGGGGAACCCUGAUCCAGCCAUGCCGCGUGUGUGAAGAAGGCCCUCGGGUUGUAAAGCACUUUCAGUGAGGAAGAACGCCUGGUGGUUAAUACCCAUCAGGAAAGACAUCACUCACAGAAGAAGCACCGGCUAACUCCGUGCCAGCAGCCGCGGUAAUACGGAGGGUGCGAGCGUUAAUCGGAAUUACUGGGCGUAAAGCGCGCGUAGGUGGCUUGAUAAGCCGGUUGUGAAAGCCCCGGGCUCAACCUGGGAACGGCAUCCGGAACUGUCAAGCUAGAGUGCAGGAGAGGAAGGUAGAAUUCCCGGUGUAGCGGUGAAAUGCGUAGAGAUCGGGAGGAAUACCAGUGGCGAAGGCGGCCUUCUGGACUGAAACUGACACUGAGGUGCGAAAGCGUGGGUAGCAAACAGGAUUAGAUACCCGGGUAGUC